CGCGUAGGUGGUUUGUUAAGUUGAAUGUGAAAUCCCCGGGCUCAACCUGGGAACUGCAUCCAAAAACUGGCAGGCUAGAGUAUGGUAGAGGGUAGUGGAAUUUCCUGUGUAGCGGUGAAAUGCGUAGAUAUAGGAAGGAACACCAGUGGCGAAGGCGACUACCUGGACUGAUACUGACACUGAGGUGCGAAAGCGUGGGGAGCAAACA
Molecule: ribosomal RNA, 208 nt
Filed under: uncultured bacterium
Lineage: Bacteria
Description: partial 16S ribosomal RNA
Rfam family: Bacterial small subunit ribosomal RNA
Source: RNAcentral